AUUAGCUGAUUGGCAGCUCUGAGUUAUAAAAACAGGAGCAUGCACGGUUACCUGGGAUGCGUCACUUGGUUAUUUGCUGCGUCGCUAACGCGCUUCUGUCACUUCCCGGAACUAGAUGCGAGUGCUUGAGGCGAGACUGCGAUUUGUUUGGAGAGCAUUUCUGCCUUGACCAUACGAGUCGCGCUGCAAUGUCUGCUUAGUAUUGUCACAUAAAUUGGGCAUAGAUAUUGGAGAAGCUGUGAGAACCUGACACUGCUGGAUCACUGUUUUGUAUCGGCGUUGAAAGAUUCCAUUGGCUUUCUAUAAAAGAUUGACAUCUGCGAUUGGUGUCGUGACGGCCUGUAAUUAUUCCAAUUGGCGUGUUCCGCGUUUGUAUGGCUGCAGUGCUGUCCUGUUUCCAGCGGGUUUUUUAAUCAAGUUUCCAAACGGGGUUUCAAUCCGGUUGCCAGAUUUGUUUUCAAACGUGUUUCUAAACGUGUUUUCAGAUCUGUUUCCAACGGGUUUCUAAGUUAUCUUUUGGUUAUUUUCCUUUUGUGGUUGUUCCAUAUUGUUUUGUCUGUUUUUUUUUUUUAGUUUUACAAUAUUAUUUUUGAAGUAUAUUUAAGAUUUUGAUUUAUUGGAAUUAUCAGUUGUGAAACUUUAAUUAUUUACUUUUGUUUUUUUGUUUUAGGUUUUUAAUGUGACUGUGGUUGAUACCAUAUCUAUCUUGGCAGGGCUUGAGCACUAGGGGCGAAGGACUGGUUUUGGUGGUGGUAUUUCCUCACAAGUGUGCAGUGGCUAUCUCACUGUGUGUGGGUGCGCGCGUGUGUGUACACAGUGAAGUACAGUGAUUUACUUAGGAGUAUGGUCUGAUUUUCUGCUUUUCUAUGCUGGUAAGCUCUAAUCCCUGUCUCUCAACCUGUUCAAGGACGAGAAUUGUAGCUUGUUUGGCUAAAUGUUUGUUUUAGUUAUUCUAAUGUUUUUGUGUCAAUAAAGAGAACUUUGUAUCGUCA
Long non-coding RNA from Tachysurus fulvidraco (yellow catfish), 992 nucleotides. RefSeq lists it as uncharacterized. The record is from RefSeq and is a predicted model, not a curated record. The transcript has 3 exons. NCBI's taxonomy places the organism in Eukaryota, Metazoa, Chordata, Actinopteri, Siluriformes, Bagridae.